AAUGUGUCUCAUCUGACACAUCUGGUUCUUUUUGAUACCUGUUGCUUUUCCUUCUGUCCUGGGGAAAUUGCAGUGACGUCCCCCCAGGUGUCUGCAAGGAGUGCUUUAACUCCUGUUAAACCCCUGCUGCAAAUCCCUGCUUGACUUAAACUUGGUGGAAUAGGUGGCUGCUGAGGAUGGGGGUUGAAUGGUGCUUUUGCUGGGCAGGUGUCUCUGGCCUCUGGCUCCUGUUGAGCUGAGCUGCUGGCAGACACCCCGCGAUGGUGGCAGAUCCACUCUGCUUUGCUUGAAGGAGGUUCACCCUAAAUAGAAGAUACAUGUGUCCAGCCAGAAAACAACAGGAAAUAAAUAUGUAGAGAGGUCUAAGCCAAUUUUCUUGUAACUCUCAAAUUAAGGAAAGCCUUAAUGAUGACUCUUAGACAGUGUUUACCACUGUAGCUCCUCAGAGAAGAGCUCCUGGGAGAAGAAGAGUAAGGAUCUCACCAGGGAUCUCCAGCAUCAGAACAACUGGCUGUUUCACUAGGUCUCAGCUGGCUGAACAUGGUGGUCAAGAUGUGAUGGACUUGGAGCAUCCCUGCAGUCAGACCAGCCAGGAAAGGAGCAGGACUGACUGACAGCACUAGAGCCAUAAGAAUGGAUGGAGAGGAACUCCCCAUGAAUGAACUCAUCUGGAAACUGGAGAUGAAGCUGCUCAGACAGCAGCACUGUGGGACUGAGCGGGUGUCAAGACGUAGCGUGGCUGGUUCCUCUCAAGGGUUAUGUCAUGCAAGUGCCAGACCAAACCAAGGACUUCAGGUUGUGAUUCAGGAAGCCUGUUUGCAGUUUUUCUCUUCUGUAGGGCUUCGCGGUCACGUUUCUGAAACUGGAUUCAAAAUUACAUCAAACACUUGCGUACCUAAACAGAAAUGCCAGGCACAGCCUUAUACACUGCAGCUUGUCAAAUACCUGAAUGCCACAGGGGAUUUGAUGGCUAAAUGUUCUGUGCAUUUAGGGUAAACCAGAUCCAUGUACAAUAUUUGCUUAAACUGGGGAAAAAGCUCACAGACUAUGACAAAGCACUGAUGAGUUUUUGGUGCAGUGCACAGGAGAUAUUUUCAUUGCUGAAGAGUGUGUGUCCAAUAGAAGGUGGAAGGCCCUUUAAUGGAUGCAGUAUGUGAUAGCUGAGUACAAAAUGUCAUGUUUCUAUGCUGGUAGUGCUCUGACCUUCCCUCUAACCACCACAAUUAUCUGCUUUCAAAAUCAGUGUUUUUCUUUGUAUUUACCACUAGACUUAAUAAUGCUGUUACGUUCUUGUGACCUAGGAAUAUAUUGUUGGGUCUGGACUAUUUCCAUACAAGGUACAAAAAGUAAUUCUUUUAAUGGAUUGAAGAAGCCAGAGGUUAAGGAAAUGUGUAGUUCUGUAGGUGUUUCUUAGGAUGGUGUAAACCCCACUUUCUGAUGCACCAGACUUGCUAGUACGGCCCUGCUCUGGGUUUUUGGGCAAGCCUUUGCUUUCUGUAGGUGUAGCCCCCAGCCUGCAGAAUGGGACCCUGGCAAUUAUUUUCCAAGUUUCUAUCAGCUUUGUGAAACACAGGUUAUAAGGACCCAGCCUGUUCCACAAAGAAUUAUGAGCUGGAUGAUUUCUUCAAGGCCAGAAAUUGGGAAAUUCAGGACAUUCUCAGGAGUGAUGGCUUAUUUCAGUCAAGAAAAGGGAGUGGACAUGGCUACAAGUAAUAUAGCAUUGUUUUAUCUAAAAGCUAAACCAUCCUUCAGUGAAGUCCCACACCUAGAUGUUUUAGGAGCAUCUAGCUUUGCCUAAUGUGAUAUUUCACUUCCAAAAGCCUUUGGCACUGUCCCUAGGGCUGUUUUCAGGUAGCCAGAGGGUCUUCCUUCUGGUUCAAAGUCCUUUUGGAGGCUGUUUUGAGGUUCCUCUCAUCAUGAGUUGCUAUCACUUUCAAACUCCUUAAGACAACAUCUAUUGCUAAUAUGCCAGUACAAGGAGCUUUUGCAGUACCAGAAGUGUGCUGUUCAUUUAUGUUGUGACUGUAAGUUGUAUCUAGCCUUUAAAACAUCUUCCCCUCAGCUUCUCAUAGGCACAAAGAUAUUCAGUUAAACUGGCUCAUUUCUGACCUUCAAAAUUUCCAACCAGAUGCAAAGUUUGCACCUUGAGAGAAUCUUUCUAAUUAAUCUUCCCAGCCUACUGUGAAGAAGGUAGCAGGCAUUAACUGCAGUCUGAGGACUGGAAAUGCAGGGCUGCGAUCACAUAAAAGGUUUUCAGCUCCCAAAUUGCAGGCAGAAAGAAGUUCUGUGCUGUCCAGGUGAUCUUUCCCUGGAGACUGCACUGACCCCACACGUUCCUCUGCUCUGCUGCAGCAUCAGGGAGGCCACACAGCAGGGGACUUAAAGCAUUAGGAGAGAUGUAAGGUUUAAUGGUGAGAUUAGAGCCUCUGCUGCUGCUCAGGUGGGUUCUGCUCUGCUGCAAUGGAAAUCUGGCUUGUUACUGCAGUGUCUGUGCAGGGUUGGGAGGAGAAGAGCACCACCCAAACAAAGCUCCCCUUCCCUCUGACCCCAUAGCAAGACCCCAUAGGAUUUCAUGCCAAGUACUCAAAUGACCGCCUGGGCAUACCAUGAGACAAGGGCGCUGCAGGUACCUCUAGUGAAAGCUCUUGGUACAAGCAGCGAUGAGGUGGGGUGAGAGCUGCCCAUUCCUUCAGCCAAAAGCAGAGGAUGAGGAGGAACAUACUGUCAAUAAUGGGAACAGUUUCACACUCGGCACUGGGCAGGCAGCCAGCUCCAAACCACAGGGGUUUUAACUCCUAACCUUGCAAACCGUGGAUCUUUGCCCAUUAACUGCAAUAUUUCUUCCCUGUCAAGGCAUUAAAUCUUCCCCAGGUCAAACCUGGUCCUGUCUCUUUAUGCGUUUGGAGAGGUUUACUCUCUAAAGCUGCUCCUGGCUUUUGUGUUUGCAAAUGGCCCUUCUGGGAAAGCCCUGGGUGCUCAGGCUGAGCGUGGCUCUGGGUCAGUGCUGCGGCUGGAGCUGAAACCUUUGCUUGUGGAGAGCUGGCCUUUGCACCUCCAGGAAAAGAGGAGCAAUGAGUGGCAGCCUUCGAUAAGGAUGAGUUGCACAAAUAUUGGAGGCUGAUCAAUUAAUGUUUUUCCUUUUGGUGUAUUCACACGGCACAAACUCCAACUGGUUCCAUUCCAAGCCUCAAUUUUUCUGUAGCAGUGAGGAUGCACUUGGAUAACUUGUUGGACUGCUGGGACACACAUGUACUGGCACACACAUUUUGUAUACCUACAGAACAAGGACCUGAUUUUUACUCUCUCCUCCUUUCUGCAUUUUAAACCCCCAGCACAGCCCAAGACUGGAAGCUCUUUCUGUGUGUCCAAGUUACGGGUUCUAUUCGGUGUCCUUCAAUCAUUGCAGCUUCCCACCUGUUUGGUUAAUCCAGAAGACUCAGUUGCCAGCAUUCAGUUUGACUGCUGGGUAACUUACUUGUUAUAAAAGCUCAAGAGAAAAAAUCCUGUUCUUAUGGCUGGGUUAAAUCUUUCCAAUGAAGAAUGAACUUGGUAAAGAAAGGAAUCUGAGGGACCAAAACUAGCUGUGAAAUUGGAUUGAACACUGGAUGAGAGUGGAGAUGAUGUGAGCUGGGUCUUUGAAAAUGCUGGAUGUUUUAGUAGUGCUUUUUAAGGAACUUCACUUUUGAAGUAGCUUUUUUUUAAGGAAAAAAAAGUCUCUUUAUAAUGUGUUUCAUUUGUACAAAAAAGAAAACUUGAUGCAGUGAAUCUUGUCUGCAUUAGAAAACAAACAAAUUGUGU
This is a long non-coding RNA of Columba livia (rock pigeon), 3798 nucleotides long. RefSeq lists it as uncharacterized. The record is from RefSeq and is a predicted model, not a curated record. The transcript is spliced from 3 exons. NCBI's taxonomy places the organism in Eukaryota, Metazoa, Chordata, Aves, Columbiformes, Columbidae.